This is a long non-coding RNA of Chlorocebus sabaeus (green monkey), 648 nucleotides long. RefSeq lists it as uncharacterized. The record is from RefSeq and is a predicted model, not a curated record. NCBI's taxonomy places the organism in Eukaryota, Metazoa, Chordata, Mammalia, Primates, Cercopithecidae.
UGCUGAAAACCAAUUCGGCAGAAAGGACAAGUUAGUAACGCAGCACCCUCGCGCCCCGAAAGAGCCCGGUACUUCGCUGUGCGUGACGCGACUACAGGCGGCGCCCGCGGGGCCGGGACAGGCGGUCCGGGCGCCCGGCGCGUGGGAAGCGGGCCUCGCCCUCGUCCUGCCCCGCCCUAGUUGGGAAGCGGCCGCGGCUGGGGAGGCUGCCUUCCCGUUUCCGUCCUAAGAAGCAGGAGGCGCAACUCGCAUCCCGCAGCCUGCCCGGGACUCCGGGCCGCGCCUCCCUCCCAGCCGCGCCACCCGCUCACCCGCACGAACACCACCACGGCGCGGCGCUCCCGGAACAGCGCGCCGAAAGAGUGAUGAACUCAGACAUCAUCAAAACAUCGUUUUGCAGGAGGAAUAGUAGCCAUGCAGAAAUGCAGAAAUUAGAAGAGAGGGAGUCUCACUACGUUUUCCAGGCUGGAGUCCAGUGGCUAUUCACAGGUGCUAUGAUUAUAGCACACUACAGUCUCAUACUCCUGGCCUCAAGCAAUCCUCCUGCCUCAGCCUCCUGAGUAGCUGAGACUACAGGUGCAUGUCACCAUGCCUGGCUGAUCAGAGUUUACUCAUUCAUUAUAGUAAACUUUACCUGUUUAACCUACA